RNAcentral lists this ribosomal RNA (253 nucleotides) under uncultured bacterium. Its description in RNAcentral is "partial 16S ribosomal RNA". It matches the Rfam family "Bacterial small subunit ribosomal RNA", at positions 524 to 776 of the family's 1533-position model. The record is from RNAcentral.
UACGUAGGGGGCAAGCGUUAUCCGGAUUUACUGGGUGUAAAGGGAGCGUAGACGGCAUGGCAAGUCAGAUGUGAAAGCCCGGGGCUCAACCCCGGGACUGCAUUUGAAACUGUCAGGCUGGAGUGCAGGUGAGGUAAGUGGAAUUCCUAGUGUAGCGGUGAAAUGCGUAGAUAUUAGGAGGAACACCAGUGGCGAAGGCGGCUUACUGGACUGUAACUGACGUUGAGGCUCGAAAGCGUGGGGAGCAAACAGG